This is a long non-coding RNA of Biomphalaria glabrata, 2682 nucleotides long. RefSeq lists it as uncharacterized. The record is from RefSeq and is a predicted model, not a curated record. Lineage: Eukaryota; Metazoa; Mollusca; Gastropoda; Planorbidae. The transcript has 3 exons.
CUGAGGAAAGUUCUUAAAGCCAUGUCGGGGAUAUUACGUUAAAUUUAAUCUUAUGACAUGAUAAAUGCAAACAUUACGUAGUGGUUGCAAAGGAAAUUUCGUUUGAACAGCGACCGUUCAAUUUGUAUUGACUCAGCAUAGAGUUGCAUAUAAAAGAUCGAUAUCGAACUUCUAUAACGAGGCUAUAAAAAGCUCUGACGACUCAAACCUCCAAACUUUCAAUGGAAAAUAAGUUUGGAAGAUUUCUAUCGUCAUAGCUACACACUUUCGCUGUUCAACUGUCCGCUGCCCUUCGCAGCAUGUCUACGUGAUGUCGUCUGCUAACAAACAAAAUAUUUAUAUUAUUGAGUCAAAACAAUAAGAUUUUUUCCAAUUGAUAGUUCUAGAAGAAGGUGAUGCAACUUUCAAUACACUGCCAGAGGUCCAAGUUACUUUCCAAAAAUAACUAAGCCUUAUGGCUUGCAGUCCAAUCCAGCAUCAAGAAGUCGCCUUUGUUAUUUUGUUCUCCUUUCUCAUGCUCCAUUUAUGUGAUGCCUUUGAUCAUCAUUCACGUGACGAAGACGUCUCACAAUGUCCCCAUUCAAAUGGUUUUGAGGACAAAACGGAGACAAUGCACAAUGUACAGCUGCUGAGACACCUACAGAGUUUCAUGCAAAUAGUGGUAUUUGUGACUUGGUGACAUAGUUCAAUGUCGUAAUAACAAACUUGAUGUCUGAAUUAUUUAACAAAUCUAGGCACUGAGAUGAAGUAGUUUUAGAUUCUUUCUAGAUGAGUCUUUUAGAAGCUUAUAUCUAAAGUAAUUACUAUAACUAUUGUUUGUUUUUUUUGGGGGGGGGGGAGUUGAUGUAGAUAGUGAAAUGCAAACAAAAUUUAUUUGAAAAAGAGCAAAAUAAGCAAUAAAAAUUUAAAAGUAAGAUUUUAGACGCUAGAUCGACAAGAUUUGUGUUUAUUUCGUCAGUCUAUUUCUCCCAGGACAGAUUCCAGUGAAUAUGGUUGCAGACGCGAAAUAAGAAAUUCAUUCACGGCAGACAUAUAAGAUAAGAUAAUAAGUAUUCCACAAUGUGGUCUUUGUAGCCACGUGAAAUAAUAAUUAUAAUAAUUGAAUUAAUAGAGAGUUGUUAAGCAAUACGUAAGUUCAAGGCAAUAGGACAACAGACGUCACGGUAGUCUAACCUAUAAAAGUUUGCUUAGGUAGGUCUUAAUGUUCUUUCGAAAUGUAGUGAAGCAGUUUAUCCUCCCUCAAUUCAUAGGGAGCAAGCUCCAAUGCACUAAAAAAAAACAGCAAAUCGUAAAUUUGGAGGGAGAAACGUGGCACAAUUAGAAGCGUUGAAUCAAUGGAGUGCAUCACCUGUACUUUACUAAAUUAUGGAACGGAAGACAUCUUUUAAAAAAAAAUUAUUAUUAACUCUUUUUCUCCUAACUGAUGAUACCAGCGUUGAUUCCACCAGAAUGUGGUAAAUAAUUACGGAGAGAAAGAGUUAAUAUAGCCCAGGACUGGAAUAAUAAAUGGAUUAUAUUGUAGCGAAUACAGAAAAAUCCUAAAUUGUUAAGGACCAUAAACGAUACGUAUACCGUGGAAAUGUGAAGAUCAACAAAUUCCACCAAGUGAUUUUAAAAUUCUUGAUAAUAUUUUCCUGGCCUCAAGCUGCCUACGACAGAAUCAAAAAGCUGGCUAGAUGAAGAAUAAGCAGAACCUGGAGAAACUAGUGAACUGGUUGCUUUCAUAUCUUGAGGUCUAAUUUCCAUUGAAGAGCAAUCUAUCCCAAUGGCUAGCAGUCGACACUCUCUUCCAGAGAUAGAACUGGCUCUUAUGAUGCUGUUUCUGACACUCCAGUUGUCUAGCAACAAAACAUGUCCUCACAAAGUCCUAGACAAAACCACUGCUGACUGUGAACAAGAGCAGCGUAGUGUGGAAGAGAUAAAGAAUGACCUCCAGAGUGCUCAAAUCUUCAUGCAGCUAGCAACGAUUGUGAUAUUGUGUGGCUCUUGAGAAAUGAUUUCAUAUUACUACAUCUCCGUCCUACGUAACCUUACCUCAUAUAAAAAAUUUUUUAACUAUAAGCACUGUUUUGUUUUGUUUUUCUUUUUUACAGAAGAACUAAAUAAAACUUCAACCUUUUAUAACAUUAUUUGAUGAGUCUAUUUGAAAUAUCAAAUAUAUUAAUUUGUGCAAUGAAAUCUGACUAUUUUAUGUAUGAAUUUAUUUUGCAUACUUCAUUUAUCUGAUAUCUCUUUAUCUCGCUCUUUUUUAGCGGCCCACGAAAGGGGAAAAGACGCUAUUAGUUUUGUGUGGAAUGUCCGUCCGUCCGUCCGUCCCGUUUAGAUCUCGUAAACUACAAAAGAUAUUGAAAAUAGGAAAUCAUGAUAUUUUAGACCUAUCAAAGUGGUAACGGCUACUUUUUUUUUUCCGAAACUGAACCAUUUAAUUUUUUAAAUUACAUAUGCAAGCAGAUUUUUCAGAAAAGGACACCACUGUUAAAUGAAAAACUUCAGGGGAGGUAACUUUUUAAAAAAAAAGGCUAAAGACUUCUUCAUUAAUAACUCAAUCUUCAUUCAUAGAUUCGCGCAUUGGUACAAAAAAUGGGCAUCUAAGGUCACAAUGGAAAAAGUGUGAACGGACCAUUAUAAAAUAUACAUUCCAUUUAUUAACUAACUCAAUGAAUAAAAUACUGAUUGAAAUAA